This 382-nucleotide long non-coding RNA is filed under the name Rattus norvegicus (Norway rat). Its description in RNAcentral is "long non-coding RNA NONRATT008495". Lineage: Eukaryota; Metazoa; Chordata; Mammalia; Rodentia; Muridae. The record is from RNAcentral.
CAGAGGAAGAUCAGCGGAUUAGCUAUCCUCAGUGUUGGCCUCCAGAGGAAGAUCAGCGGAUUAGAGAUCCUCAGUGUUGGCCUCCAGAGGAAGAUCAGAGGAUUAGGGAUCCUCAGUGUUGGCCUCCAGAGGAAGAUCAGCGGAUUAGCGAUCCUCAGUGUUGGCCUCCAGAGGAAGAUCAGCGGAUUAGCGAUCCUCAGUGUUGGCCUCCAGAGGAAGAUCAGAGGAUUAGCGAUCCUCAGUGUUGGCCUCCAGAGGAAGAUCAGAGGAUUAGCGAUCCUCAGUGUUGGCCUCCAGAGGAAGAUCAGCGGAUUAGCUAUCCUCAGUGUUGGCCUCCAGAGGAAGAUCAGAGGAUUAGCGAUCCUCAGUGUUGGCCUCCAGA